RNAcentral lists this long non-coding RNA (1400 nucleotides) under Homo sapiens (human). Its description in RNAcentral is "HSALNT0131345". The record is from RNAcentral. Lineage: Eukaryota; Metazoa; Chordata; Mammalia; Primates; Hominidae.
GCUAUGGUCUGCAUGAUUGUUUAACAAUACCUGGUGCCCCUCCUGUAGAGCUCCUGUCUGCCAUGGUGGCCAGGCAGAGUAAGCAGGGACAGAAGUGGCUGCUGGACCAGUCCCGUCCCGACCCACCCGCAUGCCUAGGCCAGGGCUCGGGUGAUCCCUCGCUGCUACUUCCCACGUGGUUUCCAGGCUCCUGUAUGGCCUCUGCAGCUCCUCUUCCUGUUCUUGGUAGUGAUGCCAUGGGUGGCCCGUCCGUCCAAGGAAUGACCGGUGUGAUCUGAGACAUAGGCUGGAGGGUGCAAGGGACGCGCUUUCAAGAAAGGGAGUCAAAGAGCCUUCUGCUGGGCCUGGAGGAGGACAGCCCCUCAGUCCCUGUGGGGCUCACUUGACUUCAUGAGGUGCCCCAUUCAUUUCUGUUCCUGCUGGAAAUCCUAUCUGAUUAGGAAGCUGGGGGUGGAAGGAAUUCCGACUGUGCAGGAGAGAGCUGCGUGGCCAGGUCGGACAGGAGGCGUGCCGAGCCAGGGCUGGAGCUUCUGCACUUGGCUGUGGCUCCCCCGGUGUGGAGGGGUGUCGGCCUGGGCCCCUGGUCUUGAGGGGGCCGGGCAGAGGCGGCAGUGGUGGGGUGUGAGGACUGGGGGCCAGGCGAAUGCACGUGGCCUUCACUGCUCCGAUUGCAGGUGGGAGGCGGAUGAUGGCAGCUCAGGGCCACUCCUGCCCUGAACCAAUCCAGGGCAAUGGGGAAGUGAAUGGAAAGCCAGUGCCUGCCGUUGUCACCACGUCCCCACGUCACGUGUCCUGCAUUGGCCCCUGUCCUAGGAGUGGGUCUGAAUGAACCUGAACACCUUCAUCAAUUCCAGUGCUCAAGUCUCUCCUCAGAGGCAUGAAACAGGCUGCCCAGGGCUGGCCAUGACCUCUGGGGGACUCAACAGCCCCCAGCACCCCAGCUCCAGUCCCCUGGCAUCCAGGUCACACCCCUCACCGGGAUGCUGUGCAGCUGAGUGCACUAGGCUGGGGGACAGAUGCCCCUUCUCACUUGACUUGCUCCUUAAUUCUUGGUCUGCAUUCGGCUCCCGCGAAUUUGCCUGGCGAGGCCUUCUCCGUGGAGUCAGGUGCUCAGCACCUGCCUGCUGCACCCACAUACGCUCUCCCCUGCCCUCUUUGGAGGUAAGAAGGAAAUAAAUCCACUUCUUAUAAAAUUGGCAAAGCCUGGGCACACACUAGUGGUUUACUUUUUGGCCGAAGGACAUUUUUCCCAGCCCCACCUUCAAUACGGGGGAUGUCCCAUGGCCUGGCAGCCGGACACAGAGGAGCUCUAUGUGGUGCAAAGAGUGCAGGCCCCAGCCUGGGCCUCACUCAACUCCAUCUCAACUCUCCCUAAGCAACUGCAAGGGAAGCCAAGGUCA